This 253-nucleotide ribosomal RNA is filed under the name uncultured bacterium. RNAcentral's name for it is "partial 16S ribosomal RNA". It matches the Rfam family "Bacterial small subunit ribosomal RNA", at positions 524 to 776 of the family's 1533-position model. The record is from RNAcentral.
UACGUAGGGGGCAAGCGUUGUCCGGAAUCAUUGGGCGUAAAGCGCGUGUAGGCGGCUCGGUAAGUCCGCUCUGAAAGCCCGGGGCUCAACCCCGGGAGGCGGGUGGAUACUGCUGAGCUCGAGUCCGGAAGAGGAGUGUGGAAUUCCUGGUGUGACGGUGAAAUGCGCAGAUAUCAGGAGGAACACCAAUGGCGAAGGCAGCACUCUGGGACGUGACUGACGCUGAGACGCGAAAGCGUGGGGAGCAAACAGG